RNAcentral lists this long non-coding RNA (28309 nucleotides) under Arabidopsis lyrata. RNAcentral's name for it is "long non-coding RNA (ALYR_LNC002154)". Lineage: Eukaryota; Viridiplantae; Streptophyta; Magnoliopsida; Brassicales; Brassicaceae. The record is from RNAcentral.
CUAGUCUCUGUCUCAGAUGGACCGAAACUGAAAUCCGAUACUUUGACAGCAUAAUCCUCUGUGAGCUGAAGAGAUGACGAGACGAGAUUGGUGUGAGCUAUAGGUGGAUUGAGUUGGUGCAUAUGGUCAAGGCAAUAUGCUAAUCCCAUUGCAAUUCUUAACCGCAUUCCCCAAUCCAAGUGUUCUGAUUCUUUAACUGUAAUAAAAAAAAUAUGUUUUGAUUCCCUUUAGAUCACAAAGAAAACAAGCCAACAUGUGACAUUGUGUAGCUAGCUUAUGACAAAAGUACUCACAGUGUAAAUGCUCAAAGAGUGAUCCAUUUGGAGCAUACUCAAAGAUCAAGAUCCUAGCGAAAGGUUCCUUUUCUUCACAAUACCCAAGAAGGUUUGCAAAAUUCUUGUGGUUGAUCUUCGAUAACAUUUCGAUCUGAAAUUGUGAAACAGAACACGCUAAAGUCGACUAUAUAUUGUUAUUAUAAGAAAUCAAAAAUGGGAAGAACCAUACCUUCUUCCUAAAGUGAAUUUCUGUAUUGUCCUUCCAGUCUUUGGCAGAGGUAGUAGCAAAAGAAGCAACAGCAAUCUCCACUCCACUUGAUAAUGUUCCUUUGAACAAUUUCCCAAUGGGGCAAGAUCCAAUGACAUUACUAAAAUCUUCACAUGCAGCUUCAAUCUCAGAUCUUUUAAGUACAGGUAUACCUGAGCAUCAAAAAAUCACACAUUGAUGAAACCAAAGUAAGUGCACUAGCCAAAACAUUCUAUGUUAUGUAACAAUUUAAGAAAGGAAAUUACCAGUAACGAAUACUUUCUGAGUUGUCCACUAAGACCAGUACGCCAAGGAUUCACAGUUUUCCCGGCCUUACUAGUGAAAAAGUAGAGACCGGUAGCUACAAGGAGAAGAAAAAAGGCACCGCCUACGCAGCCAACUACUAAAGGAACAGCCACUGAAGAAGAAUGAGCGUUUCUUGGAGUGGAAGGAUUUACAAGUGACACAGAAGGUGAAGGUGAAACAUCUUGUGUAGAUGAUCUCUUUUGUGGCUCUGGAACUGUUGAAGAUUUAGUUGAAACAUGUUUAGGAGAAGGUUGUGGUGACGAUGAUGGUGUUAUAGUUGCAGCCACAACACGGUUUUUGCGGUCUUUUCUCGAAGGUAAAUCUUUGUAAGGGUAACGGACAAGUGUUUUCCUGUGAAAUCCAAAAGCUUUCCUAUCAAAAGGUAGAAAACGAAAUUGAAGCCAUUGCCAAAACAUGCUCUAAAAUAAAGAUCAAAAUAUAGUAAGUUACAGUAUAUAGUUUAUAAGCAUGAUUAAGUGUCGGUUACAAAUUGUGAAAUAAAUUUGUAGAUCUCUACCAACCCCGUUGGCCGUUGGGACUUUGAUGCUAUAGAUGAGUUCUAUAAAGGUGAUAUGCCAGAUUGGCCAUCGAAUGAUGAUAAGUUACAGUUCUAUGAGGUGAGGUGUUACUUUGACUCAUCUUCUUUGAUGAUAAGUUUCAAUUUCUUUUGAUUCAUCUUCUAUGAGCUCGAGGUGAUCUGUUUUGACUUGUCUUUCUUCAACUAACUUUAGAUGUUUAAAAAUGUAUAGGUGAAUGAAUCAGAGUUGCGAGACAAUGAAUGGCUUCAUCUAUAUGCUGAAGUUGCAUUGUUCUCCGAGUGGGAAUCUGACAUGGUGAGGAUAUUAAAAGCAUAUAGAUAUGUGAGCUUAGGACAUUCUUUUCUCAAGUCGAGCAAUGCAAUCUUCUACAUGAGUUUCAAGGUUCGUGAAGGUCCCGAUUGCAGAGGUAUAAUAAGAAAAACAAGUGAUGGAAGAACAGGACAUAUGCGCCUUGAAGCUAGAUGUUGGAUCGACAAGUAAAUACGAUGGUGGCUAGUAUUUCGAUAUUUUGUGGAUUAUCUUGCAAUGUUUAAGUAAUUUACGGCAUGAUUCAUUUAUUUAUGCAUGGUAAUAAUAUAGUUACUUAACUUGAAGAGGACAAGAAACUUGGAUUUUACUAGAUAACUACAAAAGACACGUAUAAAACUCAGCUUUUGUUGGUGAAUGGCUCUCUUCUUACGCCGUAGACAAGACCUCCAAUUCUGGCCACCAAAGAGGUGAGAACUUAGACGUUGCAUCGUUAGCCGUGAUUUCCCAUAACCAACCGUGACUUCUUGCAUUCUCGAUCUUCUUAUUAUAAGAUUCUAGUGUUGGCCAGAGUGUCUCUCCUAUUAAAAAAUCAACCAGGCCCCUAUCUACCGAGUCGAGUUUGUUAACCGAUUCCGGGAGUUUCCCGGUUAUCAUUUCAAAUAAUAAUAAACCAUUUUUGUCAAUUAGGCCUGUGAGCUUUUCUUUUAAAAAAAAAAAAUAGUGAUUUUGAAUUUGGAUUUAAAUAUUGACUCAUAAAUCUUAAUUGAACCGGGUUGUGACAUGCUUAACCCGGACUCGGUUAUAUGGGCGAUUCCCGUUUGAACCGGUCGGUGUUAAAUCACUAUUCAUUUGUCUUAACCAUCAUUGAUUGAUUUGGGGUUAAAAAGGAAAUUGGGGUCUAUUUACAUUAAACCUAAAAAAAAAUCAAUUGGGAAUAGACAAACCCUUGUCGGCUUGUCGUGUCCGUCCAGCAAAACUUAUCAGACUCUCCCAAUCAGUUUGGAAGUAGAAGACGACUGUUCACCGGAAAGAUGUAUGAUGUGAUGUUGGAUGAAGCGAACUUGUGGUUUCACGAAUACGAACCUCCUCUCCGUAGGCGGAAGAUCGAAGAAGCUCCACCUUCACCUGUGGAAGACCUUUAUUUCUCCGACGAAGAAGACAUGAGUCCCGAGGAACGCGAAAAGUAUCGUCUUCAAGUUGUUGAGUCCUGUGUAAUUCUCUUUUAACUCUUUUCAAGUUUUGACGCUUACAAGAUUUGUGCUUUCGUAUCAUACAAUUGAUUUUUGGAUUUUGGUAAUUAGGGAUUCGAUGUUGAUUUCUUCAAGCAUACGUUUAAUGGGAUAAUGCCAAGUGGAUGUUGUCCCUAUGACACACUCUUCGCAAAGGCAGGACUCCAUUGUUACAAUCUUGAAAAGGUUUACUCUUUUCUUUUCUCUUUGAUAUUACUCUCUCCUCCUUGUGAGCUACUAUUGUAGAAUGUUGAUAUUCGUCACUGGUCAUUGUUUCUACCUUGUAGGGGAAGAACUUACAGUUCAAGACUGUAGUAAAAGUUAACGCCGAAAUCGGUUCCCUUUACAAUUCCUAUUCAACAUCUGAGGUGAUGGAUCCGGUUAACAACUCUCUUCACACUUUCCAAACUUUAGUCACGGAUGCAGGGAAGAUGAACAAAGCGCGCUUGAUACUUGUCACAAAAAUAUGCAGACUUAAGCCUCAAGUACCAGGUGUGGAAAGACUUUCAUGACUUGGUUUGUAAUUUGUCAUUAACGUUGCCAUGAAGAUUAUCAUACGCUUGUAAAACAUGGUUAAUCAUUUGGACAUGUUUUAGGCAUUGGAGAUGCAAAUGGCCGUUGGGACUUUGAUGCUAUAGAUGAUUUCUAUAAAGGUGAUAUGCCAGAUUGGCCACCGAAUGGUGCAUGUACUAAAGGUGAUAAGCUACUACAGUUCUAUGAGGUGAGGUGUUAGUUUUUUACUCAUUUAAUACAUAAUGUAAUCCAUCUUUAGUGUUUUUGCUUGUAUACAAGAUUAUCUUUUUUUCCAACUAAUUUUAGAUGUUUAAAACUGCAGGUGAAGGAAUCAGAGUUGCGAGACAAUGAAUGGAUUUCUCUAUAUGCUGAAGCUGCAUUGUUCUCCGAGUGGCACUCUGACAUGGUGAGGAUAUAAUAGCAUAUAGAUAUGUGAACAUAGGACAUCCAUUUCUCAAAAAACCUUUUUUUAAUUUGCAGAGUGCUUAUACACCAUUUGAGAUGAAGAAAGUAGUGGUACAAACAAAAGAAGAUGUAGACUCGAGUAUGAAGCUCAAGUCGAGCAAUGCAAUCUUCUACAUGACUUUCAAGGUUCGUGAAGGUCCCGAUUGCAGAGGGAUAGUAAGAAAAACAAGUGAUGGAAGAACAGGACAUAUGCGCCUUGAAGCUAGAUGUUGGAUCGACAAGUAAAGCUGAUAAUGACCAGUAAUCUGAUUUUGUGUGGUCUUUUUUUUAUGUAUUGAUCUUGCUAUGUUUAAAUGGUAUCUAUCUAUGGCAGAAGUAGCAAAGUUCGCACUACUUGUUUCCCUCUGGAUUUUUUUUUAUAAUUAAAAUGCUCUAUUUAAGAUGUGCGCUUUUAUCAACUAUCUUAUAUCUUGUUUCAAGGAAAUUACUUUGAUGUGCAAACACUUGAUGCGAUGAGAUAAACUAAAAGUGUUUUGCAAACGAUGCAGACAGUUGUUAGUAGCAAAAGACAAAAUCAAACUCUUGUUUUCACUUCACAAACACAGACUCAGUUGAGUUUACUAGCUCCAUGCCUUUUCUUCCGCCUCUCUUCCUCUUCCCGUGAGAGUAAUCUCGGAUAGCUGAAUCUUCUGAGCAAUGGACUUGGUUCAGCAAAGUAGGUAUUCGCCUUAGUGUUAAUCUCUUCACCCGGAGUGGGUACAUAAACAAGCAUAAUAUCUAUUGAGAUCUUCAUGUAACCGUUUUUUCCAAACUUAUCGCCAUGACUUGAUCUCGCCACUACGUAUUUUUCCCCAUUCUCCUCAUCUGCUGCUACUAGUGAAACGGCAUGCAGUCCAACGAGCCUUGACCUUUGAAGUACAGGCCCUCGAUAGAUCUUCAAACAAAAAACCAAACCAAUAUUAGCUUGCAUGAUAAAUUUAACACUGCAAAACAACGCAUAACUUACAUUUUCUCCAAUUUCAUUGUACUCUGGGAAAAACAUUGCCACAGCAGCUCCGAUGGGUUGGUGCUUAAGUUGGAGAAGCGCUUCCUCGAUUGUAUCUAUUCUCUUGAAGUCUUUGAUGUACCCUAAUCCCGAUAAGACACGAUCAGGAAUAUAUUGAGGACAUCCCGUGAAUGGUCUAUCUUCUUCUCUUUGAAUCCCAUUUUCCAUUACGUAACGCAUUCCUCUGUUGAUGCUUGAGGUGUAGCAGUAGUGACCGUCAUUGCGAACUUGUCUUCGCUGCACCGGAUCUGUAAAAUCAAUCAAAUCUUGCACAGAGUACUCUAUGUUAGGAUCUGUGUCACGACCGUUAAUCAAUCUCACUGCCCUUAUAAGAUCUCUUGCAACGACAGCCCAGCAAAUAUCUGAAAACAUACGAAAACAAACUUCGUUAACUAAAUUUUUUGUUAAGAAAAAUGUUAUAUGUUUUGUUCUUACCGUGAUCUAGUUGGUUUGCCACUAUCCCCAUAAUGAUUGCCCAAUCCACAUCAUCUAAGCAAACGGGAAAGAUCUGUACCUCAAAACAAAUAAGAAUUAUAAACAUAAAUUCAUCUAAAUUUCAUUACUAUUAACAAACGUACGAUAAAAUCUUAUACCCUGCGUUUGAUAUACGAUGCAAAUCUCACAUGCUUGAUAUCUCCACUUGAAUCGUCAAUGUAUUCGGUGACUUUAACUUUGGAAUCAGGUUUAGUUCUCAUUAUGCUUAAUAAAAUAUCAUGCGGAACGAUACGAAAGACCUCAGCCACUAAUGGUUGAAGUUGUGGGUCAGUCAAUGCUAAAAUCUGCUCAAAUAUGGGUAACAUUUCGUCAGGAACAGCAGCAAGCACCUGAAAAACAUCACAUUCGAAAUCCAAGAUUAAGAAUAAAACCGUGAAAGAUUAAGUGAGAUUUUAUACAGACAAUCAAGACCAGAAACAAAGACCAAACAUAUCUAACUAACUAUGUCUCUUCCAUUACCAAAGUAAACUUAACUACACCACAAAAAUCAACUUUUAUUAUCAUAUACUUACUACAUCACAUUCGAAAUCCAAGAUUUAGAAUGAACCCGUGAAAGAUUAAGUGAGAUUUUAUACAGACAAUUAAGAGCAGAAGCAAAGACCAAACAUAUCUAACUAUGUCUCUUUCAUCACCAAAGUAAACUUAAUUACACAACAAAAAUCAACUUUUUAUUAUCAUAUACUUACUUCUGCAGGUGUAGUGUCUGAGCUCUCACCUCUUUGUGCCAUAUUUGAAGUUAGGAUCUGCAUUUUAAAUUUUAGCAAAAACUUAGCAGACAAGUUUCAAAAAGACAAACAGAGUAAACCAACAGUUUCCAUUUAAGAAGUAAUACAAAAAAAAAACUAAGGACUACUUGUAGACAUAUAUAGAACAACAUAACAGAAAUGAACAAGGUAAGUUUCUUACUAGCCAGAAAGGCAGAAACCACUAGAAUCUUGUAACUUAAUUUCUCUGUUCUCCAAAACUCUCUUCCUUUUAAACGUCAAAAGUGAGAUAAAAUGUUUCUGUGUUCUAACUCUAGAGGGAAACUUGUCACUAUAAAGAUUGCAGAGUUACAUAAUGUCUUUACGCUAUAAAUUUUUCCUUCUAGUUAUCUGCACCCAUUGAACACAACAUUGACCAUUAACACUAAUAUGGGGAGAUAUACAAUAUCUACUCAUCUUACUUCUGAAUCCACUCCUUACUAAAUAUAGAAAUUUCAGAAGCAACUUUAACUUUUUGACCCAUCACAGUUAAUUAUUUCGUUCGUAAAUGUUUUUACUCUCCUUAUUUUUAUUGGAUGUCAAUUUUUUUUUUCCUUUAGCCUUUCGCUCCACAAUCAACUGAUUCAAAAGGAAAAGAAAAAAAAAAAAAGUAUUUGCCAAGUUAUUCACGAAUAAAAUAUCUCUUCAAGCAUGAAUAAAAUAUUUUUGCACACUUAUAUUCUUAAAGUAUUUGGCAAUUUCUCCUCUAUCAUUUUGCUACAUAAUAACACUGAACAAAAGAAUGCAUUCAUAUAGAAGAAGAAGGAUAUAAUUUUUACAAGAUUGUUUCCGACAUGCACACUAAUUCAUCUAUACAUGUUUAUAGAGUUACUUAACUUGAGAGAACUUCAAUUUUGUUUUACCAAUAUUACUAGAGAUAACUAGAAAAGACACUUACAAAACUAACAUCUUCAAAAUAUAUACAGUUUUAUUGGUGAAGGGCCUCUCUUAAGCCGUGGACAAAACCUCCAACUCUGCCCACCAAAGAGGUGACAAUUUCGGCGUAGCAUCAUUCGGUGAUAUUCCCGUGAUCUCCCGUAACCAUCCUGUGACUUCCCGCAUUGUAGGUCUCUCUUUCGGGUCGGUCCUGAGGCAUGAUUUGAUCACUUCACCUAUAUUCUCAAUCUUGUCAUCAUAAGAUUCCAGUGUUGGAUCUACCAUCUUGGCUAGAGUCUCUCCUCUUAAGAAAUCAACCAGCGCGCUAUCUACCGAGUCAGGUUUGUUAACCGAUUCUGGGAGUUUCCCGCUUAUCAUUUCGAAUAAUAGUAAACCGAAGCUGUAAACGUUUUCUUCUGGAUUCAAGACUGAGAUGUUUGUGUCUAUGACUGUGUCGUUGAUGCUAGUCUCUGUCUCAGAUGGACCGAAACUGAAAUCCGAUACUUUGACAGCAUAAUCCUCUGUGAGCUGAAGAGAUGACGAGACGAGAUUGGUGUGAGCUAUAGGUGGAUUGAGUUGGUGCAUAUGGUCAAGGCAAUAUGCUAAUCCCAUUGCAAUUCUUAACCGCAUUCCCCAAUCCAAGUGUUCUGAUUCUUUAACUGUAAUAAAAAAAAUAUGUUUUGAUUCCCUUUAGAUCACAAAGAAAACAAGCCAACAUGUGACAUUGUGUAGCUAGCUUAUGACAAAAGUACUCACAGUGUAAAUGCUCAAAGAGUGAUCCAUUUGGAGCAUACUCAAAGAUCAAGAUCCUAGUGAAAGGUUCCUUUUCUUCACAAUACCCAAGAAGGUUUGCAAAAUUCUUGUGGUUGAUCUUCGAUAACAUUUCGAUCUGAAAUUGUGAAACAGAACACGCUAAAGUCGACUAUAUAUUGUUAUUAUAAGAAAUCAAAAAUGGGAAGAACCAUACCUUCUUCCUAAAGUGAAUUUCUGUAUUGUCCUUCCAGUCUUUGGCAGAGGUAGUAGCAAAAGAAGCAACAGCAAUCUCCACUCCACUUGAUAAUGUUCCUUUGAACAAUUUCCCAAUGGGGCAAGAUCCAAUGACAUUACUAAAAUCUUCACAUGCAGCUUCAAUCUCAGAUCUUUUAAGUACAGGUAUACCUGAGUAUCAAAAAAUCAAACAUUGAUGAAACCAAAACAUAUUAUGCCAUGUAACAAUUUAAGAAAGAAAAUUACCAGUUACGAAUACUUUCUGAAGUUGUCCGCUAAGACCAGUACGCCAAGGAUUCACAGUUUUCCCGGCCUUACUAGUGAAACAGUAGACACCGGUAACUACAAGAAGAAGAAAAAAGGCACCGCCUACGCAGCCAAUCACUAAAGGAACGGCCACUGAAGAAGAAUGAGCGUUUCUUGGAGUGGGAGGAUUUACAAGUGACACAGAAGGAGAAGGUGAAACAUUUUGUGUAGAUGAUCUCAUUUGUGGCUCCGGAACUGUUGAAGAUCUAGUUGAAACAUGUUUAGGAGAAGGUUUUGGGGAUGAUGAUGGUGUUACAGUUGCAGCCACAACGCGGUUUCUGCGGUCUUUUCUCGAAGGCAAAUCUUUGUUAGGGUAACGGACAAGUGUUUUCCUGUGAAAUCCAAAAGCUUUCCUAACAAAAGGUAGAAAAAUAAAUUAUAGCCAUUGCAAAAGCAUGCUCUAAAAUAAAGAUCAAAAUACGGUAAGUUAUAUAUAGUUUACAAGCAUGAAUAAGUGUCGGUUACAAGUAACAACAGUUUCUUCUACCAUACAUAGAUAGAGAAAAUGAAGCUACGGAAUGGUUAGAGAAAUUUGUAGAUCUACCAACCCCUGACUAUAUAUCUGUUCUAAUCCAAAGACCCACUGGAAAUCUCAGAAACUGAAGGUACUACUUACAAAUUCGUUGAAUCUUCAUCUGACGAUAGAUCUUUCUUUAAACUAUCUUCACUUUUCAGAAAAUCUACACCUGAAAACAGAGGAUAUGAAUCAGGGAACUUGGAUUCUGUUUCUACGCAACCAAAGAGACAAAAACGAGUAAGUGAAACGAUGAAACUCUCUCUACCUUUGUCUUUGAGCGAGAAACACGAACCCAAGUAGCUAAGAAGGAUCACAAAAGCCACGAAAGAACGCAUUUUGAACAUGGAUCGAGUGAAUCCAGAAGACAACAGUAGUAAGAGUUGAGCAGAAGAAGAUGAUGAAAUCGAAGUAGAAUUCGAGAUUAGAGAUGAGAAGCAGAGACAAUCAGAUAUUGAAGAAGCUCAAGACAAAAAGAGACUUCUGAGUUUUGAGCAAAGAAACCGCGUCCGCCGUGUUUUGCCCGAUAGACGAAACUAGACAGAAGACAGUAGACACGACUUAAUGAAUUUUUUUUUUUUUUUGGGUCAACAAGACGAACUAACAAGGUUGCUUAUUUAUGAACCAAUCAAAACGUUUUUUCUUUUGUAUUUUCAUGAAAAUUAAAUAUAUUUUUUUUUUUUGUUUUUUUUGCCCCAACGAUUACUGUCAAAUACCAACAUCGUACCAUGUUCGAACCAUACUUGACCUAUUCCAAACCACGAAAAUAAUUUUCUUUUCUUUACAAGUCUUUCAUUCAAAUUGAUCUUAUUUCAUUGUGAUUCAAAGUGGUGAGGAUUUUUGUGAAAUUAAAAAAUAAAUCAUCAAAACUUAGUAUUGAAUUAUACUAUAUGAAUAUUUUUUUAGAAUUCAGUUCAUCUUUUUAAGAUUUGAUUUGAGAAAUUAACUCAAGAAAAAGCUCAUGUUUAGACAAAUUAAUAAAAUAUUUCAACGUAUCAAUUAGUGGAAAUACAUAGAAAAAAAAUGGGCAUGUUCAAUCCUGAUUGUAUGUUAAGGUAUUUUAGAUGUUUUAUGGGCUCUAAAAUAAACAAAUUGUUUUCCUAUUUAUAAACGUUAGGUGAAAAAUAUGUGUAAUACGGGUUAAUAAUAACAUGUAGUGGCAGAACUAAAAGGGUUCAAAAGAAAAGGCUCAAUUAGCCAGCCACCGUCUAAAAAGACUUGUUGCGUAGGGAAUGGUUCUACCUUCUUGAUUUUCUUGGUUAUUUCUUACAAUUUGUAAUUGGUUAUAAUAAAAUUCAACGAACGUAUUGAAAACAAAACAAAACAAAGAUAGUAACAAAUAUAAGAGCCACGUAGAUUUGGUGUGAUGAUAUUUGAAUGAUUGAGGUUGAAGGAAUGAUUGUCAUCUUAAGUAAUGUGAGACUAUUUCAAAGUGGAGGUUGCUUAGAUGUUGCUUUCUUCGUCCCCAAUUCUCUUCCCAUGUGGGAUCCUCGUGGUCUGGUCACUUGUUAUCAAGCAAACCCCUAUAUGUUUUAAUUAACUUAUUCUAAUUCAUAUUCUACUAUUUUUAUUUUGUCAACAUUUCCAUAUUCUAUUGUUAUAGGAACCAAUGCGAAAAAAACAAUUUCUUUUUUAAAAACAAAAAUGCCUUGAGAAUCUAAGAUAAUAAACAAUUUUCCUACCUAUGUUGUUGGCGAAAUAAUUAUUCUUCAAUGGAUAAGGAUAUGGUUUUGGAGCUUAGCUUCGGCAAUGAGCAAAAAAUAAAUUUCUAACUAAUUCAGGUUGGUCUGAUGGUUGAAAGAUUUAUCUACAAGUAGAGGACCAUGUUUAAAUCUAUCAAAUACGAUUUCAAUUGUGAUCAUUAGCUACUAUAAACGUUUGAAAUGAUAAGUAUAUAAGAUCUUUCACAUACAACAAAGAUUAGUUUAGUUUAGAUUUCGAUUUGAGAAUUUUCAGUUAUCAAAACCAAGAAAAAACGAUAUAAGCUUAAAAAUAAAAGGACGAAGAAGAGAACAAAUAUAAGAGAGCAGAAAGAAUUGUUACUAUUGUAUAGAGUAAAAUAAGAAAAGAAUAAACAAUUUCAUAUUUCCUUUAAGGGAAGAGAAAUACAUCAUACAUUACAUAGAUAAAUGGUGAAGCUAGUCAAACUUUGUUAUUUCUUACUCUUCCUAAAUUUCACCUUCUUUAUAUUAUAUUUUCUAAAUACUUCUAUGCUUACAAAGAUUAUUUUUUCGUAGUUUAGAUUUUAUCAUUAAUUCAUACAUUUCACUCGACCGGAGCUCUCAGAAUUCCGUCGUCGGUGCAUCGGAAAACAAGACACACACCUAAUCAAACCUUGCACAUUGCAACUCGUACAAUUCGUAAAUCCAGAUUUUUCCAAGAAGAUUUUGUGGCUACCAUUACACCGGUCACACACAACAAAACUCCAUCCUCUACACAAAUCACAUAUCUCAUCAAAUAUUUUAUCUGAUGGUGGUAAUGUGUCGAUCAGCUUCCUCAACUCGUCAUUCUCUUGUAACUGUUUAAUCUCUUUCAUCCCGCCAAUAUAUCUUCCACCGAUAAAAACCUUAGGCAACACAACUUUCUUGGUUCCAAAAAUUGUUUGUAACUCAUGGUGAAAUUUUAAAUCCAUUGAUAGAUCUCACUCGUCCAUUUUGAUACGAAAUGUAUGAAGGAUCGAUCGCACAGAUUUACAUUCUUCGAAUGUUUUACGUAUGAUUCGAAGGCUAGUGUAGUAGAGAACAACGCCUCGAUGAUCGGCGUUGGGGAUAUCCACGGUAGAGAAGAGUGUUGGUGUCGGAAUCGGGUGUAAGAAAUUGGCAUUUGAGAUACAUCCAUGAAUCUUGGGACUCCGAGGCUGGUGGAUGAUUUGACCCCGUAUAGAGUAUGGUUUUGGCGGGGAAUCAUCUUCAUGGAGAAGGUUUUGAAUGUCUUUGAAAGAUGAACAAGAGAAAUGUCUCGGCCAUUUCGGUGAGUCCGGAGAAAUUUGGUGACGACGUCUGCGGAAUUGAAGCCAAUUCGAAAACAUUAGAGAAGAUCAAUGACGAAAUCUAAAAUAAAUGAGAAUGUUAAAAUACUGAAAAAGUGAGCGAGUCAAAUAUAUUUAUUACGAAUGAAAAUACUAGAUAAGAAUGAUAUCUAAAUAAAAUUAGAAAACAAUUUCUUACCCAAAAUGGCCAAAAGAUUUCAUUUACAUUUUUACUUUUUGUUUUGGUCGUCGAAAUUUAUUAAUAAGCCUGAAAAGUUCAAAAGAGAUUUAAAAUAUAUUCUGAAAACUUUCUAGUCUAAUGAUGAAAACAUUUGAAAGCUUAAACAUCGCAUGUAGAACUUAGAUUAAAAAAUAAAAAUAAAAAACUAUGAAACAUUACACAUGUUCAAUUUCGUAUCCUACGAGCCGCUGAUCAAUUCUCAUUAGCCUAAGGCGAUUAACGUUACCAAGCAUCAUUAAACGUCUUCAAGCAUCAACAAACAUCUCCGAACACCACCAAGCACUCUCUAUACUAUACUGAGAAAGACAUGCGGGUUUGGCCGCCAUUUUUUCGAAAUUCAGUUUCAAGGACUAACAUAAAAAAAAAAAUUCCGAGAAUUUUUCAUGGACUUAUUUGUUUUAAAGCUGUGUAAUUUUGUUUUAUGCGAUGAAAAUUGAUGUUGCAGCUAAAAAGCUCUUUCAUUAAUUACUUAAAUUAGUAAAUAACCAUUUCUUCAAUUUAAUAUAAUCUUUUGUAAUUUGUGAUUUUAGAUGAAAAAAAGCUAACAGAACAACUAAAAUUAAAUAUUCCUUAAAAUUGGAACAAAUAAGAAAGAGUGCAUUAGAAAAACAAUUUGGUUUUAUGCAAUUUAAAUUAAAACAAACAACAAAAUUAAUUGGUAAAUAUGAUUGGCACAUUCACCAAAUUGAAGAUUCUGUUUUAAAGGAGAGAACAAAAAAUAAACCAUAUACUGUACACUCAAAAACCUAUAUAACAACAUAUUAACCAAUCAUAAUCAUUACCAAAAAGAACAACCCAAUUUUAGUUGUUAAUUAGUAACAAUAAUCAAGUUCUUCUAACAGUUCAUCGAAACAUGCUAACUCUAUAAAAGCAGAUAAAGUGGGCAACACUUCUCAUUAUCUCUUAGAACAAGUAUUGAUAAACAACAAGUUUUUCUUCCAUAUAUAUACUUUAAACAAAAGAAUAAGAUGGCUUACAUUGUUUUUGCGUUUAAGGCUUUGUGUUUGUCUCUCUUGUUCAUUGUUGUUGCAAGUCGUUCCACCGUCAGACCAAAAGUUUUCAACGUCCAACGCCAUGGUUCUAAACCGGACGGAAAAACUGAUAACGCCAAUGUAUGUACACCAGAGUUUUCCUAUUUUAAUAUUUAGCACCAAUUAUUUUUGAGAUGAAAAUCUUAACACAAGUACAUAUAUAACCAAUAUACAAAUACAAAGAUAAAUAUAUAUAUUUUUAACUUUUUUGAUUUAUUUUGUUUAACCUAUAUCAUUCUUAACGAUUUUUAGGCAUUCACAAGUGUAUGGAGCCGUGCAUGCAGAAGGAAAAGUGGAAGUAGUAAAAUAUAUGUACCAAAAGGAACAUUCUACCUCGGUGGUGUAGAGUUCGUGGGUCCAUGCAAAAAUCCUAUUGAAUUUAUUAUCGAUGGAACUUUAUUGGCUCCUGCAAAUCCUAGCGACAUUAAGCAAGACACAUGGAUCAACUUUAGGUACAUCAACGAUCUCUCUAUCUCCGGUUCUGGUACACUUGACGGUCAAGGGAAACAGUCUUGGCCACUCAAUGACUGCCACAAAAACCCCAAUUGUCCUAAACUAGCUAUGGUAACAUUUCGUAAACUUUUUCACUAUUGCCUCAUUUUAAAAGAAUAUGAUGAUUAUUUACAUUUAGAUCGAGUCUUUUAAUAAACUUGAAAUUGUUUUCAUAGACUAUGGGAUUUGCAUUCGUGAACAACUCGUAUAUCAAAGACAUAACAUCACUCAACAGCAAAAUGGGACACUUCAACUUCUUCUCCGUCCAUCACUUUAACAUUACUGGCGUCACUAUAACAGCUCCCUAUAAAAAGUUUACUCUAACAGUUUUUAUUAUGUUUGGGAAGUCUGUCAGUUGGACAUUGGCCCAAUUGGUUUACCUGGUAGCCAGAAAUGCAGGCGGCCUGACUAUCCCCUGGCACUUAGUCGGAAGGCAUUCCAAACUCGGGAUAGGCAGAGUGGUAGCCCGUAAGGGCCUAACCGUUAACACGGUGGACCAGUCUACUAUGUAGCACCUCGGUGCGUUCCUACCGGGGCCAACCGGAUAGCCGAUAGGGUUUAUCAAAAGAAAAAAAAAAAAAAAAAAAAAAAAAACUAUAACAGCUCCCGGCGAUAGUCCCAACACCGACGGUAUCAAGAUGGGUUCAUGUAGUAACAUUCACAUCUCCAACACAAACAUUGGUACUGGAGACGAUUGUAUCGCCAUUCUCUCUGGAACCACUAACCUCGAUAUCUCUAAUGUUAAGUGUGGUCCUGGACAUGGGAUCAGUGUCGGAAGCUUAGGAAAGAACAAAGACGAGAAAGACGUGAAAGACUUAACAGUAAGAGACGUUUUUUUUAACGGUACUAGCGAUGGUAUUCGGAUCAAGACUUGGGAAUCUUCAGCCUCAAAAAUCCUCGUUUCGAACUUCGUAUACGAGAAUAUUCAGAUGAUUGACGUUGGAAAACCAAUCAACAUCGAUCAAAAAUAUUGUCCUCACCCACCUUGUGAACAUGAGCAAAAGGUUAACUUUCUAUGCGAAAAAAAAAAAUAAAGUUUCAUUUUCUUUACUUUCAUCACAAGAACGAAAAAAAACAAAAGACAUCUUGUGUUUUUUUUUUUCAGGGAGAGUCUCACGUUCAAAUCCAAGACCUUAAGUUAAAGAACAUAUAUGGAACGUCGAAGAACAAAGUGGCAAUGAAUCUGCAAUGUAGCAAAAGUUUUCCGUGCAAGAAUGUGGAACUGAUUGACAUUAACAUAAAGCAUAAUGGACUCGAAGGUGGUUCUUCCACUGCGGUGUGCGAGAAUGUUGACGGUUCUGUACGCGGUAAAAUGGUUCCUCAACAUUGUCUAAAUUGACAAUCCAUCAAAACAAUAACGAUGUGUUGUCAGGGCCGGUUAUUGGCAUGUGCAAGUGGUGCAUUUGCACCGGGUCCAACAAAUUUAAGGUCCAAAUUCAUAGUUUUUCUAUUAUUUAAUUAUUUAAUUAUGCUGAAAUUUUAUAAAAUAUCCAUAUGUAAAAGUCCCAAAAUUUUAUUUUAAAAGGUAAUAUUGAGGCCCAAAAUUAAUAAACAAAAAUAACAUGUCCAAAUAGCUAUAAAAUACAAAAUAAUUUAUGAAAUAUAACUUUUUGUAAAUAUAUAUAUAUAUAUAUAAAUUUUUUAUUAAAGAUAAGAUUUUUUUUUGUAUGGCACCGAGUCUUACCGAUGAGUGAGCCGGGCCUGUGUGUUGUAUAUGAUAUUUUCAUUUAUGAAUAAUUGUCUAAUUAAUCGGUGUAUAUAUGGAUUUUUUUUUGUUAUAACCAAAUCAUAAAUAUGUAUAUAUAUGCAAAACAAAAUCCCCUUGAUAAAAGUUGGUUCAGUUUAAUGGUUGCGUCAUGCAUUGAUAGUGUACAAAAGAAAUUACUUUGCUAGUUUGUUUAUGUUUCUUUCUGUCUAUCAGAGUUCCGGUUUAGCGGGACGCCAAAACCCCUUCCGACCAACAAAAAACCGGUCCUGGUAUAUUUUGGUUGACCAAUGAAGCGAGCCAAGUAUGUAUUCAAGCUUCUUUAUUGUUUCCAUGGUGUCUUGAACCACAAGAUAUCCGCCAGGUCUCACUAUCCUAUCUAUCUCAGCUACCACUUGUACAAUCUCACACCUGAAAUUGACCCAAAAAUAACAACAAAAGGUUAACCACACUAACCACGAUAUCAAACCGAGUUUCUUAGGACCGAUUCUGGUUAAGCUAACUGUGACCGAAAGCAGAAAGAACUGAACCAAAACAGUGAAUGCCUGCUGGCUACUGCUAAAGAAUUGAAACUCUAUAGAGAUAUAAAUUCAGGUCUAUUGUUUACCUUUGUGUGAGAUCAGUAUCACCCAGGAGGAAACUGGAAUGUAGCAGAUCGUAUGUUCUAGGGUAAGUGUUGAGGGACUCACACCAAUCAUGGUAAAUUCCGAUCAAGCCUCGAUCAUAAACGACGGAGAGAGUGUCAGGUUUAUUCACAGGGACAACAUUCAUCACCCAGAGAGGUCGAUUUAUAAGUGCAGCAGCAAAACUAUACCAAAAAGGAAAGAAGAAAAACUAGUGUCAAGUUUCAGUUUGGGAUAAACCGGAUUCUUGUUAAAGUUUCAGAGAAUGUAAAAUUACCCGCCAAAACCAGCAUUCAUGUCCAUCACAUUCCGCACAGUCGACCAGUUUACAGCUAGAUGUUCGAGAUAAACAUCAGAUACAAUUGCUGACCAUUUCUCUGUAUCUUUCUUCAAUGUUUCUGCUUCGACUGAAAUGCUUUGCGGUUUAACACUCACAAGCCGUUUAGGCCAUAGUUCAGGCCAACUCUGGACAUUACCGCUAGGUAAUUUGGAAAUGCAUUUGGCGAGAGGAACAUACCUAAAAUCAAUCAAAAGGAUAUGUUACAAAAAAAAGUGGACAUACGUGAAUGUGAAGCAUCAUUUUGUGUAAGAGUUUUAUACCACGAAGCAUUUGCUUCCUUUUUAUCGCAUAGAGGCGGAUCUUGUGUGCUGCGCUUAUUAUAACAGGAUUCUGAAAUUGGCUUUUGAUAGAUCACAAGUCCAAUUCCCGAGGAGUCAACCGUCUUGGUCACGACCUUCCAGCAAAUGGAUUUAGUCAGAGAAACCAUUGCUGCAAACACAAAAUAGUAACAAUAAACCAUAAAGAUCAAGACCAGUGUUGAAUAACCAAACCAAGAAUAUGAUUGUUGCUAACCAUUCCAAAUUCUGCUAUCUCUGUCAUUAUCUCGAUAGACUGGUGUUGCAGACCAAAUGAAGAAACCUCCUGGCCUGAGUACCCUAUUGAGCUCCAACAACGGUUUCCCACCUAACAAAAUAAACCAAAAAGAUCAUGAAAACCUCGAAGCUUAAUGGUUAAGAGGGACAAAACAAAAAGGAACAAAUAAAUACCAUCAGCAUCCCAAUGGACUCUGCACCGUGCACAAUGGAUAAGAUCAAAAGCAUUGCUGGGAAACGUAAGCUGUUGUGUUCCAAUAACAGAAAGUGUUGCAGGUAUUCCUCGUUCUAACGCAAAUUGAAUCUGAGCUUCAUGUUCAUCUUUAGGGGCAAAUGACAUUGUAAUGACAUCUUUAUCUAAUAAAGAUCCGCCAAAGCUAGCAACGCCGCAACCAACAUCUAAUACAACCCUUAUGUUUUUCCCCCAUUUGAUACUCGGUAAAGCCUAUGAAUAUGAAAUGAAUUCAACACAAAGAUCGAUCCUUUCGAUUCGAAAAAAAACAGGGGAAACAGCAAAAAGAAAGUGCUGACCUUUUCGAUGAACUCAACGUAAUGAGUAACCCCGAAUUUGAAUUGAGUACCUCCUCCAGGAAAAACUAGAAAUUCACCCUCUUUUUUAACCCAAUUUUGUUCUUUCUUGUAUUCUACAAGCUUGGGGUGAGGAACAUUGUCAUACCAAAUCUGCACAUUAUAGAGUAAACAAAUAAAGAAAUGUUCCAAUAGCCUAAUUCAUGAAACUAUAACACUCCAAAAAUGUUAACUUUGAAUCUAUCCGACUCUAAAAAAACGGAUCUUUCACUUUUCCUUUCACAGAAACUUCUACAUACUCAAAUGGGUCACUAAACUAAAUCAUAUAUCUUCAGAUCAAGAGCAGCAACCAAAGCUUACCAAAAACAAAAACAGGAACUGUCUCUCACCAUAUCCCGGCUCUUAGGCCACGGAACCGGCGGCUUAUAAUUAUCCGGCAAGGUAACGAGACAUUGAGGACUUGGUUCAGGGCAAUGACGUUCUCGAUGUUCCAUAUGUCUCCUCGAUUUGAGCUGCUUAAUGGCAGCGUAAUUAUCAAGACAAGGUAUGUAAUCAACAGAUUCUGCGCCUUUACAUAGAUCCCAUUUCAGCUCAUCCACCUCUUGGGAACUGUUAAGCUUCAUCUUCUGUGGAGUUUGAUCUGAAGAAACGUCGACGUUUUGGUGAGGAUUUGGGGAUUUGGGGUUUGGACCGUUUGGUGUGUAGUAAUCGGUGGGGGAGAGAGAAGGGAAAGGGAAUGUUGCGUUAUCGGAGGUGAAGAGGAAGAAGGUGAUGGCGAUGAGGAGAGUGGAGAGGAGUAAAACGACGACGUGUUGUACUGAUAUCGCCAUUGAAGAAGAAAGAUCAUUAGAGAUCACUGUACGAGACGCGUUUUAAGGAAGAAGAAGAAGCAAGGUGUGAGCUGAUCAGAGAGCUCCAAAAGUCGCAACUUUCACAUUUCGAUUUUUGCAGAGCUUAAGUAAAAAUAAAAUUUUAUGCGCCGACAGAGUAAAAAAGAAUGUGUCCGAAAUAUUUGAUUAGUAUAAGACAAAAAUUUAUUUUUGUAAUAAAUCAUAAUUAUGUAUCAAUUAUAAGUUAAUCAAUCAGAGGUUUUUAACAAUUUUGUUUUUGUGAUUUUUUCCGGAGACAUCAGAUCCAAUUAAAUCUACACACCGCUCAUAGCCAGAUCCAAUCAACCUACAUUCCUGAGGUUUAUAAUUUGGUCAAUACAUAGGAUAGUACUUAAUUAUGAUCAUAUUGAGCUGUGUGGUGGAGCAACAAAUUCUCGAGCAGUAACAAAUGCAAAAAAUCAAUCUAUUAUAAAACCAUGAAUGUAUGAUUGAUAUGUAACCCCCUAUGGGUAAAAUAAAAUGCCUCAAGAGUCAUCAAAAAGCACAUAAAUCCUCUCGGAGGUUUUUCUACUGCCUUGUCAAAGCUUAAAACAAAAUACUCAACUGUUGAGACUGGGUAGAUUUAAUAGAAAGAAAAUUAGUCGCAAAACAAUCAAUCCGGCAAUCUUACUCAAUGAUUCCGGCACCACCAUCGAGAUCCACUUCUCCCAUCCCUGUGUCCUCUUCUUCGUCUCCGCUCUCUUCAUCGCCGCUAAUUUCUUCAUUGUCAAGACGUAGCUUAGCCAUGUGUUCUGUCAGCAUCUUAUCAUCACGUUCACUCACCUAUAAUUUAACACAGAUUAUUAACAUUAAUAGUCGGUUGUGAACCAAAAUAAACAAAACACGAAAGGAAAGCUGGAUCUUGUGACAUGCAACUUGUGACGGUUCAUCAGUAAAAAAAAAGAAGAUAAGAUACUCACAGCUCUAGCUCCCUCCUUAACGACAAGCUUGCCUUUGUGUGUCUCAAUUGUCUCAGUGCAUGCUGCUAUGGCUUUGUUUAGAAUUUCAAUCCCUUGUUCCUGUUUAAUAUAAGACAGUAACUGAGAAGAUUAGGAAAAAUGGCACAAAACAUAGCAUUUACACAUUUAUGGUUUAAGUGAAGACAAAUCCGCAAAGCUACAUAAUUGGCUAAUAAAGUUGCAAUGACAACAUUAGUAUCUGUGUGUGUUUUCUUAAGCCUCUGCUUUCCUUGCAACUAAAUGAUUUCAACUAUUGCACUCAAAAUUCUGGCAAGUUGCUUAAGUGGAUAUACAAUCUAAAAAGAGAUCAUAAACCUCUUAACGAUAAGUAGGGGAGGGUUUCUGUACUUCGCGAAACCAAGUAAAUCAUAAUACAAGAUAGAAGAUUGGCUAACCUUGUCCAGCGUCUGAGUAGUAAGGACAUACAGAGGUGGAGCAACCAACUUAAUCUUAACAGGACAAUCUUCAUUUCCAGCGGCUUCAGCAUUUCUCAUGGCCUCCUGAAAUUGCAAAAAAAGGUGAGAAAAUCAAAUGAAACCAUAAUGUAUUAUUUUCACAAGUUAAAGAUAAUCCAAUAAGCGAUAUGACCUUAAUGUGAACAACUCCGUCAAACUGGAAACACUUCAAUUCGAUAUCAGCCCGGAUUUUCAUUGGUUGUGGUGUCAUUCUCCUCCUAAUGUUCUUCACAAGUGCAUCUUUCACUUCUUCCGUAACAGCAGGUACAACCUUAGUCACCUACAAACAUAAAACUUCUAAGAUUAUCCCCAAAUGAAGUUUCUAGUAACGGCUAAACCAAAACCAGAGAACAAAGUAUAUACCUCUUGUCCAUCAGGCCCAACUUCUUUGAUCUCACGGGUGAGGGGACCCAACACCGAAUCAGGAUCGGUCACUAAGAUCUUGAAGGCCUGAACAAAAGAGAAAGAUAUUUGAGAACUAAAAAACCAUAAAAAUACAACGAAUCUCAAAUUCUUAAAUUCUUACCUCAAAAGCAUGACCAUGUCUUCGAUACAAAGGCCAACCAAUGUUCACAUACAACUCCUGCAACAUGAAAGCUUGAAUGAAUUUCUAAUCAACGAUUCUAAACUAUUAGUAGCACCUAAAUUCAGAGAUUUGAUAACAUCUCAAACCAGCAAAUCCCAAAUUCAGAUGGACAACACUCGUCAAAGUCCAAUUCCAGCAAAUAAUCCGUAAAUUCAACUACUAAAAUAUAGAGUAACUUGGAAGAUUUUACCUCCAAAUCAAUAGAUAGAGUCUCAGCAACAUGGCGCAUGAUAGAAUGCACAAGCUUGCUCUUGUUAUACCUCUCUUCACAAGUCUGAAUAUCCUCCUCACUGACUCUACGUUUGCUCAGAUCAAUGUAACCUUUCUCUUUGUCCACACGGAGAACCAUGACAGGCUCAAUUCUUCCGACCUUAAUCAAACUGCUGACACUUCGGAUCCGACGACGAGAGAGCUCGGAGAAGAGGAUCAUGCCUUCGAUGUUGUUGUACUCGAGGAGAGAAACGUAGGCUCCCAUAUCGGCGAUGUUCUUCACCUGGAUCAUAACCGCCAUAUCCACCUCUGGGUAUUUCGCCUCGUACAUCCGACACUCGAGAUUCGGUGUUUGGCUCGCCAUGAUUGGAAGAUUUCGAUACUGCUUAAGGUCACGCGAAUUCACUCUACGUUGAAUCGGAAAAGGCUAUGAGUGCGGAGAAACUUAGGGUUUUAGACUUUUAGGCGACGGAGCAAAUCAACAGAAUUUUUUGGCUAGGGAUAAGAGAUGAGCAAGGGAAAAAAAAAACUGAAAAUUUGGCGACUUGCGUCAAAGAUGCCAGUUACAAACGACGCCGUGUCGGGUAAACAAUUAGGUUUUAAUUGGGCCACAAAAUAGAGUUUCAAGGGUUUUGGGGGGGUUUAAAGCCCAUUGGAUCGAUAUUGUUUUAUCGUUCAUCAAUUUCUUUCACUGGUUCAUAAAUUGCGUUUGAACCAGCACUAAAAACCACUCAUACGCUUUGAGCUUGAAUCAACAUUUGACAAUCGAAAUUUUUUUCAGAUCGAGCCGAUCGGGAAAUCAGAUUGAACCUGACUGUAACUAUAGAAUCGAUCACCAGGUGGGUUGAUGAACCUUAGACCAGAAUUUAAAGUCAUGUCUUCGUCUCUUACAAAAAAAAAAAAAAAGAAGUCUACCUCACAAAAUCGUAAAAGCUGAAGAACUUAAACAUAGUCAUAAACUAGCUCCAAACAUAUCACACUAAGAGAGCUUCAUAUAGAAACACACUUGACACAAGAGUCCCUCGUAGCUGCUUACCCUUCCAGAAGCAUCUGAUUGAAAUGCCAUGUUCCUGAAAUUACCCACAAACAUUAAACACACAUAAAUUAAAACAGAAGAGUGGAGGAUGAAUAAGUGGAUUUUGUUGUUCUUUUGUAUCUUUAUAGAUUAAAUCAUAAUGUGAGAUAUUAUUAUGUACCGUGUCCUUUGCCAACUCGUCGCAGCUGAGCCACAUAUUCUGAGAUCAUCUUGAUUGCUUCCACCUGAGAAAUAUUUUAUUUUAUCAUAAAAUUUCAAUUAGAUUCUCUUUGACAGCUUAGAUACAAAAGCAGUCCUUUGCCAGAUCAAAUGAUUAUACCUGCUCGUUCAGAAACUCGCUCUCAAUAAAGUCUGCCAAGUGGACAUCAUUGUUCUUCGAAGCAACCUGUUGAACAAAGCAUUACAAAACUGAGAACAGUUCUUGCAGAGUGAAGAUUAGAUUUACUUCUCAAAUAGGGAUUUUGAUAAAUAUAGUAUAAACUCAAGAAGAGAUGGUCUUUACACUGUGAAGGUUUAAGAGCUUCUCAUUAACUAGUUUCUCCAAUGACAGAGCCAGCUCCAUGCCUGCAUGAACAAAUCACAGAAUUGUAUGUUAUAACUCCUAUAUCCAUUGAGACUUCAAUCUCCAUAUGAGAGAAACAUUUUCAUGAUACUUAAGAGCUCCUUGCCAAUGAAAACUUGCAAUCUCUUAAAAAGCUUAACAUAACAUUGGUGUCAACUUCUAACUUCUCCAAAAUUUAUUACUUACAAUGUGGCAAACAUAUGAAACUAAAGAUAACUUUCACUUGGGAUUUUUCUUGUAGAGAAACCUAUAAAGCAUCAAUAGAUACAAAGUUGAUGCAGCGCAUCUUCACUACUUGUUGGGCCUCGUUAACGUAUCUCGUGCCCAUCAAGAUAUUCAGUUGUAACAAGAUCAUUUCCUUAGUUUUUGAGACAUUAUCACUUCGUUUACGUUUUGUUAUCAUAGGAUAUUCUUAAUAUCUUUUAGGAUUAGGAUUAGUUUUAUUUGCUUUUAUCUCACGACUCUAUAUAAAGAGAUCGUCUUCUCUGUAAUCAGAUCAUCUUUGGCUUUAAGAAAUCAUUUGAAACCCAAAAGAGUUUAGCCUUGUGCGAACCCUGAGAGGAGGACUCUCGCCUUUUAUUUCUCGAUCUCAACUCAUCGUUGAGCUCAUAAGAUCUCUGUUCCGUUUUAAACCAAACCGUGCUCUGUUUUUGGCUUCACAAAACAGAGUCUUCUUCCUCAUAAUCUCUGUUUUAAGCUUCCCUUCUACUCUCUCUUUUAAAUUACUUCCGCUCCCUCUAUCAGUUGGUAUCAGAGACAAAACGUUUCUGAAAAGUUGAAAUCUCGACCAUGCCACCAAAGAAAGACGACGAGAUCGCCGCCGCAAAUUGGGCUGAACUGCGAGCCGCCCUAUCCACCCUCCUUGCGUUGCAGGAGACGAUGCAGUCCAACAUUCAAACCUCCAUUCAAGCCUCGAUACGUGAACUUGGAGAAACUCUGACUCAACACUUACAACCACGACAACAGGCCGGAGACCAAAGAAACGAGAUCGCAGAAGUGAACCCGUUUGCUCCUGAUGUCAAUCGCGAGUUGAUCGUAAGGAGACCAGAUCAGCGUGAUUCACGAUGGGAAGCUGGUUUCAAGGUUGAUAUUCCCGAAUUCAGCGGAGGACUGCGAGGUGAUACCUUGUUAGAUUGGUUGGUCGCCGUAGAAGAGGUCCUGGAUUUUAAACAAGUACCAAACAAUCGUCGUGUACCUCUCGUAGCCACAAAAUUUCGCGGGCACGCAGCAUCUUGGUGGCAGCAACUAAAAGCCUCUCGCAAUCGCGACAAUAAAGCACCAAUCGACUCUUGGGAAAAAUUGAAGAAGAAGUUGAGGCAAACUUUCUUACCUCACAAUUACGACCGCACCAUGUACACGCGGCUUCAAAAUUUGAAACAAGGGAUGCGUUCUGUAGAUGAAUAUGCUGAGGAGUUUUAUGUCCUACUCACUAGGAAUGAAAUCAAUGACAAUGAGGUGCAGCUCGUGUCUCGUUUCAUCGGUGGGUUGCGAAGUCAACUCCAGAAUUCACUAGCUCAAUUCGAUCCAACCUCCAUAGCCGAAGCUCAUCGUCGAGCAGCCUCUUUUGAACAACAACAACGCUCCGGAAAUUGGUCCUCUACCUCCAAUCGUGGACGGGUUCAAGAGAUGAAUUCUCCCAAAUCGGAGACUGCAACAAAAGAGAAUACGGAUACCGCUACGCCAAAACAAACAGAGGAUCCAGCCUUGCGCCGUUCCAGUCGCAAUGCCCUGCGGUGUUUUAAUUGUGGUGAAUCAGGACACAGGCAGACCGCAUGCCCACAACAGACAAGACGCGGCCUCCUUGUUGAUGAACAACCCAACAAUGAUGAGCCACUGUAUGACUCUGAAGAAGAAGAUCGGAGUAACAAUGACACUGUGUUACACCAUACACAUGGUGAUAAUGGACCAUUGUUGUUAGUAGGACGUACUUGUCUCAUUCCAGAAGCAAAAACAGAGUCUUGGUUACGGACUAACAUUUUUCGCUCCACUUGCACCAUCAAAGGACGACUCUGUACCGCUAUUUGCAGCUUCAUCAUAGACUCCGGCAGCUCGCGCAACGUCAUAGCGGAAGAAGCAGUUCGAAAAUUAGGCCUCCCGGUUGAAGCACAUCCUGCUCCUUACAAUCUUGGUUGGCUUAGUGACAAAGUGAAUAUGCGUGUCACUCAUCGCUCUAUGGUGCCUUUCUCCAUAGGACCGUACUACAAGGACCGCAUGUAUUGCGAUAUCGCUCCUAUUGAUGUUUGCCACUUAUUGUUAGGAAGACCUUGGGAAUACGACCGCAAGAUCACUCACGACGGGUUGAAAAACACAUAUCGGUUCGUGUGGGAAACUCACCAAAUCUUACUCAUGCCAUCACGAGAACCAGUAGCAGCUGAACCUCCUCCCACGCGAUCAGUCCAAAGCCGUUUGUCUUUCCCUCCAAAAAUUACCGACGCAACACAAGCUCAUACACCACGAUCAGUCCAUAGCCGUUUAACUUUUCCAGAAACGGCUCCCGAGUCGACACUCCUCUGUUCUUACUCCAUGUUUGAUCAAGAAUUUCGUAAAGAGGGCAUGGCUUAUGCACUCUUACUUGCGGGUACAAAGGAGCAACGACCAACGGUGUUGUCACCACAAUUUGAGCAGAUCCUUCGGGAAUUUACGGAUGUGUUUCCAAGUGAGUUACCACCAGGGCUUCCUCCACUUCGCGACAUUCAACACCAGAUCGAUCUCAUCCCGGGGGCCACACUCCCGAACCGUCCUCAUUAUCGAAUGAGUCCACUUGAACAUGAAGAGCUACGACGCCAGGUAGAAGAGUUACUCCAUAAAGGCUAUAUUAGGGAAAGUCUAAGUCCAUGUGCUGUUCCCGCGCUCUUAAUUCCAAAGAAGGAUGGUUCUUGGCGAAUGUGUGUGGAUAGCCGAGCCAUCAAUAAAAUCACAACUCGCUACCGUUUUCCGAUUCCGCGCCUUGAUGACCUACUGGACCAAAUUGGACAAGCGACUAUUUUCACCAAGAUUGAUCUCAAGAGCGGCUACCAUCAAAUUCGUAUUAACCCGGGUGACGAAUGGAAGACAGCAUUUAAAACCCGAGAAGGACUUUUUGAAUGGCUAGUAAUGCCUUUUGGGUUAUCUAAUGCUCCAAGUACAUUCAUGAGGGUCAUGAAUCAAGCCUUGCGGCCUUUCAUUGGCAAGUUCGUAGUGGUCUAUUUCGAUGACAUUCUCAUUUUUAGCUCUUCGGCGGACGCACAUGCUGAUCAUUUGCGUGAGGUUCUCCAAGUCUUGCGCAAAGAGAAACUGUUCGCGGGAAAACAAAAAUGUGAGUUCGGUGCUUCCGAAGUUUUAUUCCUCGGUUAUGUCAUCUCAGACAAGGGUCUAUCGGUUGAUAAAUCAAAGAUCGAAGCAGUCCGGUCUUGGCCCACGCCAAGUACAGUGACUGAAGUCCGGAGUUUCCAUGGUCUCGCAUCUUUUUAUCGUCGUUUCAUAAGUCACUUUAGCUCUAUAAUGGCCCCCAUAACAAGUUGUAUGAAGACGGGUGCCUUCACUUGGACCAAAGAAGCAAACUCGUCAUUUGAACUCAUCAAGGAGAAGCUGACAACAGCUCCGAUUUUAAUACUACCAGAUUUUGCAACCACCUUUGAACUCCAUUGCGAUGCUUCUAAACUCGGGAUUGGAGCUGUCCUAAGUCAACACGAACGUCCGGUAGCAUACUAUAGUGAAAAGCUUGCUGGAGCUAGAAGUCGCUAUAGUACCUAUGACAUCGAAUUCUACGCCAUUGUUCAGGCCAUUAAACAUUGGAGGCACUACCUUGUACAUCGUGAUUUUAUUCUGUUUACCGAUCAUGAUGCACUACGCCAUCUAGAUAGUCAAGCCAAUGUCUCUGCCCGACAUGCAACUUGGAUAGCGUUCUUGCAACAAUUCACUUUCUCAAUCCGUCAUCAUUCCGGCAAGUUAAACCGUGUAGCCGAUGCCUUGAGUAGACGUCACGGACUGUUAACAACAAUGCAUACUACGGUGCCUGGUUUUUCUACUUUCGCUGAGCUAUACGAAUCUGAUCCUUUCUUUGCUCGUAUCCUCUCCGAUGUCGAGCAAAACCUCACUUCCGAAUACACGUUGCAAGACGGCUUUCUCUUCAAAGGGCUGCGUAUUUGUGUUCCUACGUGUAGUCUAAGGUUACAAAUAAUUCGUGAGCUUCAUUGUGAGGGUCACGUCGGCCGAGACCGCACCUUGCAUUUGGUCACCACGUCGUACUUUUGGCCAUCCCUACGCAAAGAUGUAGAGCGCUUUGUGGAAAGGUGUCGGGUUUGCCAACAGGGCAAGGGGAAAGCUUCCAAUGCGGGACUGUAUUUACCACUACCAAUUCCUACACAACCAUGGACGGAUGUUAGCAUGGAUUUUGUUUUGGGCCUCCCACGUACUCAGCGUGGUCACGAUUCCAUUUUUGUGGUGGUGGAUCGUUUUUCAAAAAUGGCUCACUUCAUUCCCUGCAAAAAGACUACGGAUGCGGUGACGGUGGCUGUGCUUUUUUUCCGGGAGAUUUAUCGACUUCAUGGUCUUCCGUCUUCUAUAGUUUCAGACCGAGAUACACGUUUCUUAAGUCACUUUUGGAGAUCUUUAUGGAAGCUUCUCGGCACAAGUCUUGACAUGAGCACGGCGUAUCACCCACAAACGGAUGGCCAAACAGAGGUCACCAACCGCUCAUUGGGCAACUUGCUACGCUGUUUAGUGGGAGACAACAUUAAAAGCUGGGAUGGCAAGUUGUGUCAAGCGGAGUUUGCUCACAACCACGCCCUUAACCGAAGUCUCGGUUUUUCUCCUUUCCGUGUGGUUUACGGCUUGGUUCCACGCGGGCCACUGGAUUUGUCUACAUUACCGGAUAAGGCUCGUUUUCACGGUCAUGCUAUUGAUUUUGUUAGUGACUUGCAACUGGUUCAUCAACAAGCUCAUGCGAAUUUGGAGGUUUCCACGGCCAAAUACAAGAGUGCCGCAGACACUAAGCGACGUGAAGUUUUAUUUGAGCCAGGAGACAUGGUUUGGGUCAUCCUCACUAAAGACCGUCUUCCACUCCGAGAGUAUAACAAGCUGAAGUCCAAGAAGAUUGGUCCCGUAGAGGUGCUUGAACGCAUUAAUUCCAAUGCGUACCGCGUUCGUCUACCAUCUCACAUGAACACGUCCAACGUCUUCAAUGUGAAGCAUCUCAUUCCUUUCCACGGGGACAAUGACGCGCCGGAUUCGUGGCCGAAUCCUCUCCCACCUGGGGAGACCUGAUGCAGCGCAUCUUCACUACUUGUUGGGCCUCGUUAACGUAUCUCGUGCCCAUCAAGAUAUUCAGUUGUAACAAGAUCAUUUCCUUAGUUUUUGAGACAUUAUCACUUCGUUUACGUUUUGUUAUCAUAGGAUAUUCUUAAUAUCUUUUAGGAUUAGGAUUAGUUUUAUUUGCUUUUAUCUCACGACUCUAUAUAAAGAGAUCGUCUUCUCUGUAAUCAGAUCAUCUUUGGCUUUAAGAAAUCAUUUGAAACCCAAAAGAGUUUAGCCUUGUGCGAACCCUGAGAGGAGGACUCUCGCCUUUUAUUUCUCGAUCUCAACUCAUCGUUGAGCUCAUAAGAUCUCUGUUCCGUUUUAAACCAAACCGUGCUCUGUUUUUGGCUUCACAAAACAGAGUCUUCUUCCUCAUAAUCUCUGUUUUAAGCUUCCCUUCUACUCUCUCUUUUAAAUUACUUCCGCUCCCUCUAUCAAAAGUGUUGGCAACUUUUGAGCUUACCAUAUAGAGCAUCUCCUUUGUCAACAUGUUCAAACUCUGAAAGAGGCAUUACAAUGGACUGUAACCUAACUCUCCCACCACGUUUAUUCUGCAAUUCAUGUAAAAAAGACUAAAACAUGUUAGAGAACCUAAUAAGCUCCAAUUAGGGAAACAAAUGAAAAUAGUUUUCAUAGGACCUGAUACUCCAUUAACUUCUCAGCGUGCUCUCUUUCUUCCACGCUUGAUUCCUUAAAGAACCUGAUUCCAUGAAACCAACAAUUAACUAUGGAUAAACAAAUAAAUCCGAAACUAUCAACAAUCAAACACUCUUGAAUAAGCAGAGACUCACUUGGCAAGACCUUUAAGCGCAACGUUAUCCCGAUCGAAGUACGCAUACAUAGCGUGAUACACAUACGAAACAUUGUAUUCCACACUGCAACCAAAAUCCAUUGAAGAAUUUCAGAAUCCACAAGAUAAUAAACUAUAAGCAUGAAUCUACAUGAGGUUCCAAGUACCAAAUCCUAUAGCUAAUCAACCAGAUUACAAUACCGAAUCUAAGAGAGAGUGAGGUGAGAAAGAAUAGCCUACUUGAUCUGCUCGUUAAUGGCGGCUUCGCACUCGUCUGAGUACUUUUGUCGAGCGAGUGAGAGAUGAGAGCUGGUUGGGACGAGAUCGAGCUCCUUUUUCACUUCCUUAAACGGCUCAAAGACGACGCCGCUUAGCGCG